AGGAAUGCUACAGCAGUUUCUACUACCUUGGUGGCUUAAAACUGCAGGAGUUUCGGUCCUGGAGACCAGAAGUCUAACAAGGUCAAAACUCACUCUGUGACCCCCUGAGGCUGAUCUCACCUCCCUCCUGAGGCCAUCUGGCCACAGUGCUCCUGGCCACCUCCUGCUGGUGCACUCCUGAGCACAGAUGUUCCUGCCAACUCUGAUCUGCAGAGAGCUCCUCACCACAGGUGAGCUGGCCAGCUGGCACAGAGCUUUGAAGGAGGGGUCAGCACCCAGACAGGGGCUAGGCUCCCCUGGAGUGAGGCAAGGGCAGGGUUCUGGUGGACAUGCUCUCUGGUGUUAAACAAUGGUGUGUGUGUCUCCAUGUGUGAGACUGCAUUACUGUGAAGUCUGGGGUGCUUGUGGUGUGUACGGUGUGCAUGUGCCGUGUGCAUGUGUGCAUGGUAUAGAAUGUGUGUAUGUGUGUCCGUGUGCUGGGUGUGUAUAAUAUUGCAUGUGGUGUGUGUAACACAGUAUGUCGAAUGUAACAUGGAGUGUGGAAUGUGGUGUCCAACUGGCAUGUGUGGUGUGGAACAUGGUGUAUGGUGUACACAUAUUAUGGCAUGCGGUGUGCAGCAGGCAUAUGGGGUGUUAUGGAGUGUGUUCAGUAACAUGGCGGGUGGUGUGUAACAUGACAUAUGGUGCACAUGUAUCAUGGUGUGUGGUGUGCAGAAUGUAUGUGGUGUGUA
This is a non-coding RNA of Urocitellus parryii (Arctic ground squirrel), 731 nucleotides long. Lineage: Eukaryota; Metazoa; Chordata; Mammalia; Rodentia; Sciuridae. The record is from RefSeq and is a predicted model, not a curated record.